This 887-nucleotide ribosomal RNA is filed under the name uncultured prokaryote. RNAcentral's name for it is "bacterial SSU rRNA". It matches the Rfam family "Archaeal small subunit ribosomal RNA", at positions 455 to 1354 of the family's 1478-position model. The record is from RNAcentral.
GUGCCAGCCGCCGCGGUAAUACCAGCUCCACGAGUGGUCAGGACGGUUAUUGGGCCUAAAGCGUCCGUAGCCGGCUCAGCAAGUUUAUGGUGAAAUCCGUCGUCUCAAGCGUCGGAGUGCUGUAAAUACUGCUGGGCUAGGGAGUGGGAGAGGCCGAGGGUACCUCCGGGGUAGGGGCGAAAUCCUAUAAUCCCGGAGUGACGACAGUGGCGAAAGCGCUCGGCUAGAACACGUCCGACGGUGAGGGACGAAAGCUGGGGCAGCAAACCGGAUUAGAUACCCGGGUAGUCCCAGCCGUAAACCAUGCGGGCUAGUUGUCGGAGCGGCUUAGUGCCGCUCCGGUAACGCAGGGAAGCCAUUAAGCCCGCCGCCUGGGGAGUACGACCGCAAGGUUGAAACUUAAAGGAAUUGCGGGGGAGCACCACAAGGGGUGAAGCUUGCGGCUCAAUUGGAGUCAACGCCGGAAAACUCACCAGGGGAGACAGCAGUAUGAAGGCCAAGCUAACGACUUUGCCAGACGCGCUGAGAGGAGGCGCAUGGCCGUCGCCAGCUCGUGUUGUGAAACGUCCGGUCAAGUCCGGGAACGAGCGAGACCUCCGUCUUUAGUUGCAACCCUUCAGGGGGCACACUAAAGAGACCGCCACCGAUUAAGGUGGAGGAAGGAGGAGGCAACGGCAGGUCAGCAUGCCCCGAAACCUCUGGGCUGCACGCGAGCUGCAAUGGCAGGUACAAUGGGAUCUGACCCCGUAAGGGGAAAGCAAUCCUCAAAGCCUGCCUCAGUUGGGAUCGAGGGCUGCAACCCGCCCUCGUGAACCUGGAAUCCCUAGUAAUCGCGUGUCAACACCGCGCGGUGAAUACGUCCCUGCUCCUUGCACACACCGCCCGUC